This 1451-nucleotide long non-coding RNA is filed under the name Phoenix dactylifera (date palm). RNAcentral's name for it is "long non-coding RNA (PDAC_LNC010475)". The record is from RNAcentral. Lineage: Eukaryota; Viridiplantae; Streptophyta; Magnoliopsida; Arecales; Arecaceae.
CGGCUCUGGAGAGGAGAUCAGCCUUUCAUGGAGUCGUGGGCAACAGCAGCAGCGCAGAGGUCCUUCAUUGUGACUGGUUCUUCUCUCUUUUCCCUUCCUACUCCCUUCUUAGACUAAUCCCAACACGAAUCAAACUCCCUUCAGCAUAUAUACAUAUAUAUUUCCUUUUCGUUGGGAGUUAUUCCCAUAAUACCCAGAAAAAUAUUAUCUCUCCUCUCCCUUUUUGGUUCGGUGGGAACUCAGCCUGAGAAGGGAUAGCUUGGGACCAGCCGGCUCCCUCUCUCCGAAUGCCAUCGUCUUCAUGCAUCGAUUCCCUUUUAUAGCCUUCACCUGGGUGGGAGGAUAAGGUUGAUUGAGCUGAUCCGCCGUUGGGGAGAUGAGCUGGGAUUUGGAUGAUUGCGGAGUAACCGGACACGGAAGGAACUGGGAGCUGAAAUUCAUUGGCUGAAGUUGGCUUGAUCCUUUGGGAUGCUUGCUUUCCGGACGUUAGGAUAAGGAUGCAAGGAGUUUGGAUCCGUGAGCUGCUGUCCGUGAAGUCUGGCGCGCAUGCGGAAGCUUAGAUUUGCUGGGAGGAAGUGGUUCUGAAGCAAAGGAAUUUUGGGAUGCAGGGGAAAAAGUUUGAUCCGAGAAGAUGAUGAUGGAUACGAAGAUCGUGGGAUCUAGCUUCGGAAUGAACAUCUAAGCCUUAUCCCGUAGAUGAUGGAAUGCUGGGAAGAAAUCUGGAAGAAAAGGAUGGUUUGGUUCGGAAGAGGAAAGAUGUUGGCCUGAUUCGGAAGAGGAUAAGGAUGAUCCUCUGUUCCGAAGCAGGGGAGGAUGCUGGAAUGGGGAGAAUCCAUUGCAGGUAGCAACCGAUUACGAACGGAAGGGAGAUUGACUUGUGAUUCGGAAGAGAAUAUCAAGUUCGGAAGGCUCAUCCUCGCUGGAAUCUAAAGCUUAUCUAGAAGCUGAUCUUGCGGAAGGGGGCUGGAUGGGAGCUUAUCCCAUGGCUGGCCAUGGGAUCCUCGGAUGCGGAUGGUGUUCUGGCUGAGAGGAUGUUGUUCCGAAACAGGGGAAAAGGAUGAGAAGAUAAACACGGGUGUGAGAGGGAAUCUAGGAAGGAUUUGGAAGUUGGGAGGAAGGGCUGAUCUUGAAUGACUGAAGCAUAGAAUCAGCUGGGAGCUAGGAAGGACGUGGAAGAUUCGGAAGGAAGGGAAGAUGGCUGAAUACUCUGUUCCGAUUUGGUUUUGGUUGGGAAGAAAUGAAGAUCUUGGAUGAGUGAAGCAUGGAGGAAGUGGACGUGAGAGGAUGUUUGGGCUUUAUCCCAUGGGUGAUGGAAUUCCAAUGCGAAUGGGAUUAAGAUUAGCUUGAUAGGAAAUCUAGGAGGAUCAAAGCCGGAAGAUGAUAGCUCUGUUUGGAUGCCAUGAAUGAUGGGGAGUUCGGAAGGGAGACGCGUGGAAAAGGAUGGAGCGCUG